GCGGUAGGCCUAACACAUGCAAGUCGAACGGCAGCACAGCAGUAGCAAUACUGUGGGUGGCGAGUGGCGGACGGGUGAGGAAUACAUCGGAAUCUACUCUGUCGUGGGGGAUAACGUAGGGAAACUUACGCUAAUACCGCAUACGACCUACGGGUGAAAGUGGGGGACCGCAAGGCCUCACGCGAUUGAAUGAGCCGAUGUCGGAUUAGCUAGUUGGCGGGGUAAAGGCCCACCAAGGCGACGAUCCGUAGCUGGUCUGAGAGGAUGAUCAGCCACACUGGAACUGAGACACGGUCCAGACUCCUACGGGAGGCAGCAGUGGGGAAUAUUGGACAAUGGGCGCAAGCCUGAUCCAGCCAUACCGCGUGGGUGAAGAAGGCCUUCGGGUUGUAAAGCCCUUUUGUUGGGAAAGAAAUCCUGUUGAUUAAUACUCGACAGGGAUGACGGUACCCAAAGAAUAAGCACCGGCUAACUUCGUGCCAGCAGCCGCGGUAAUACGAA
RNAcentral lists this ribosomal RNA (501 nucleotides) under soil bacterium S81D2. RNAcentral's name for it is "bacterial SSU rRNA". It matches the Rfam family "Bacterial small subunit ribosomal RNA", at positions 39 to 529 of the family's 1533-position model. The record is from RNAcentral.